AUCACAAUGCCACGAAAAGUGAUCAGGGGUUACAGCCCGCCAGCAGAACACCCAAAAAUGCAGAGACACCCAGCGGGACACCACUACAAGGGGUACACAAGGGGCAAACAAGGGGCAACAGCGACACAUCACGACUGCACCCGAAAAGGAUAAAGCAGAACUAGGGGGAAGUCACCUACACAGGCACCUCAGCCACCACCUACACACAGCGCUCCAAGGGUGGUGGUGCUUGCAUCAGCCAGAGCUUUGCUUGGCUCACCCGAGCCAUAAUCCAACUUGGCCCACCCUGCCACGGGGCAGGCCCAUGGGGAACGGGGCACGACUUGACUUGCCAGACCUCUUUG
Molecule: long non-coding RNA, 344 nt
Filed under: Volvox carteri
Lineage: Eukaryota; Viridiplantae; Chlorophyta; Chlorophyceae; Chlamydomonadales; Volvocaceae
Description: long non-coding RNA (VCAR_LNC002875)
Source: RNAcentral